GAUGAAGACGCAGUGAAAUGCGAUAAGUAAUGUGAAUUGCAGAAUUCAGUGAAUCAUCGAAUCUUUGAACGCACAUUGCGCCCGCCAGUAUUCUGGCGGGCAUGCCUGUUCGAGCGUCAUUUCAACCAUCAAGCCCCCGGCUUGUGUUGGGGACCUGCGGCUGCCGCAGGCCCUGAAAACCAGUGGCGGGCUCGCUAGUCACUCCGAGCGUAGUAAUACAUCUCGCUCAGGGCGUGCUGCGGGUUCCGGCCGUUAAAAAGCCUUAUUUACCCAAGGUUGACCUCGGAUCAGGUAGGAAGACCCGCUGAACUUAAGCAUAUCAAUAAGCGGAGGA
Molecule: unclassified non-coding RNA, 334 nt
Filed under: soil metagenome
Description: partial contains 5.8S ribosomal RNA, internal transcribed spacer 2, and large subunit ribosomal RNA
Rfam family: 5.8S ribosomal RNA (bases 1-119)
Source: RNAcentral